RNAcentral lists this ribosomal RNA (548 nucleotides) under Bicosoecida sp. CB-2014. Its description in RNAcentral is "partial Bacterial large subunit ribosomal RNA". It matches the Rfam family "Bacterial large subunit ribosomal RNA", at positions 776 to 1330 of the family's 2925-position model. Lineage: Eukaryota; Bigyra; Bicosoecida. The record is from RNAcentral.
GAACGCACUUCGUUUGAAAACGGCGGCGAUGACCUGCGGAUAGGGGUGAAAGGCCAAUCAAACCCGGAGAUAUCUCGUUCUCCCCGAAAUAGCUUUAGGGCUAGCGUCGCGCGUUCACCGCCGGAGGUAGAGCACCGGAUGGACGAGGGGGCUUCGCCGCCUACCGAAUCCAACCGAACUCCGAAUGCCGGCGGCCCAGAGCGCGGCAGUCAGAGCAUGUGGGCUAAGCUGUGUGCUCGAGAGGGAAACAGCCCGGACCGCCCGCUAAGGUCCCCAAGUUCCAGCCGAGUGGCAAAGGAUGUGCGUCCGCCCAGACAACCAGGAUGUUGGCUUAGAAGCAGCCACUCAUUAAAAGAGUGCGUAAUAGCUCACUGGUCGAGUGACCCUGCGCCGAAAAUUUAACGGGGCUAAAUCGUACACCGAAGCUUGGGAUGCAGUAAUGCAUGGUAGGAGAGCGUCGUAUAAGGGGUGAAGUCAGAGCGUAAGCGUUGGUGGACUUUAUACGAGUGAGAAUGCCGGAAUGAGUAGCGAGAAAUAUGUGAGAAUCA